CAUCAUGAUGAGUUGCGCUGUCGGCGGGGUUGCAUUUGACUGCAGUGGCGGUCGCGAGCCCCUCCCCGAUUCUCCAUGGUGACACACGAUGUGCACGGGGGCCAUCUGAAAAGC
Molecule: small nucleolar RNA, 114 nt
Organism: Gadus morhua (Atlantic cod)
Lineage: Eukaryota; Metazoa; Chordata; Actinopteri; Gadiformes; Gadidae
Product: small nucleolar RNA SNORD67
Source: Ensembl